RNAcentral lists this ribosomal RNA (520 nucleotides) under uncultured archaeon. RNAcentral describes it as "bacterial SSU rRNA". It matches the Rfam family "Archaeal small subunit ribosomal RNA", at positions 343 to 875 of the family's 1478-position model. The record is from RNAcentral.
CCCCCCAAAAACCAAAGUGUGAUAGGGGUUACCCCAAGUGGUCAAUUUGAACUGGGGUAGGGGAGUAAUGUCCCCCACUUUAAAGGAGAGGGGAAGGGUGGUGCCAGCCGCCCCGGUAAAACCAGCUCUUCAAGUGGUCGGGAUAAUUAUUGGGCUUAAAGUGUCCGUAGCCGGUUUAGUAAGUUCCUGGUAAAAUCGGGUAGCUUAACUAUCUGCAUGCUAGGAAUACUGCUAUACUAGAGGGCGGGAGAGGUCUGAGGUACUACAGGGGUAGGGGUGAAAUCUUAUAAUCCUUGUAGGACCACCAGUGGCGAAGGCGUCAGACUGGAACGCGCCUGACGGUGAGGGACGAAAGCCAGGGGAGCGAACCGGAUUAGAUACCCGGGUAGUCCUGGCCGUAAACGAUGCAUACUAGGUGAUGGUACGGCCAUGAGCCGUAUCAGUGCCGUAGGGAAACCGUUAAGUGUGCCGCCUGGGAAGUACGGUCGCAAGGCUAAAACUUAAAGGAAUUGGCGGGGGG